AUCUUGUGCAAGUCAUGUAACUAACCUGUUUGGGCACAAUUCCGUCAACUGCAAAAGGCCUAUCAUAGCAAUCGCCCAGCUUUCCUCCAGGGUUGUGAGGAUUAAAAGAGUGCACUCAGCAACAGUCAGGUAUGACAAGGAGCAAGACGGACCGCGAUGACGUAGGACCCAGGGCUGGCCGAAGGCUUGUGGGCGGGGCUUGAUCUUGGGUUUGCAUGCGGCGACAGGAUUGGUCAAGAAGAGCCUUCAUCAAGCCCUCUCAAGGUCCCGCCCCAGAUGUCACUGCGCUUGCGCACUUUCUGUUUGAUUCGCCGCAAAGCUACGUGUGACCUUGCGACGCUUGUGGCGCUCGGGUCGCAGAAGCGUCAGUGGCUGUCGCUGCGGCUGCGUGGCGGGUUGUCCAGGUAACCACGGGAGUUGCCGCUGUCCGGUAGCAUCUGAACAACAGUUGCACGUCCGGUAGCAUCUGAACAACAGUUGCGUGUCAGGCAGUUGAAGCACCUGCUGAGCUCUCAGGAUGGAGCUGCAAAGGUGACUUGUAUGGCUUGGUCCCAGAACAAUGCCAAAUUUGCUGUCUGCACAGUGGAUCGAGUGGUAUUGCUGUAUGAUGAACAUGGAGAAUGGAGAGAGAAAUUCUCCACCGAACCAGCUGACAUGAAGCUAUAUGGUGAAGGGCAUGGCUUUUUCUCCUGAUUCCACUAAAAUUGCCAUAGGACAGACUGACAUCAUCUGUGUCUACAAGAUUGAAGAAGACUGGUGAGGAUAGAGACUGGGAGAUGGGAUGGCCCAGGAAAGAAGGGAAAGGCAAGAGAAAUGCCUCUCUGGGGAGGGGAAAUGAAGAGGAUGAGAAGCCACACUUGGGUAUUGAGGGCACUUUCUGGAGUCUGUUGUUGCUUUUCUACCUUCGCCUGUCCCAUGUGUUCUGCAAUCCCAUCCCUGGAGGAAUCAGCCCAAGGUCAACAGGAGGCCCUGUGAGAUCCUGGAAGCCCAGAGGGAUGUUGCAUCUUUGUUACUGUUCUGAAACUCCUUAGGCUCCCUCAUAUGCCUCCUUUCAGGGCUCCUACAAAGUAGUCAGAAACACUAGUGGGCCAGGAAGAAAUCUGCUCUUUCUUCUCUUCCCUCAGCAUCAUGUUUGGCAAUUUGUUUAUGAAAGUGGUUUUAAAUAUGCUCCCCUGCUUUUGUUUGGCAGGGGUGACAAGAAAGUCAUCUGCCACAAGUUCAUCCAGAUGAUAAAGUUCAGUCCAUUCCCUGGAAGCUUAGGAUGAGCAAACAUCUAUCAAUAUAUCUACUUAUAUCUAUAUAUAUCAUCUAUAUCAAUAUAUCUACCUACUUAUAUAUAAGUAGAUAUAUUUGUAUAGUAGAUAUAGUAGAAAUGCAGGAGUUGCAUUUCUAACAUCUGAGUCUGGACUUUUCCUACUGCAAGGACGGUGUUUCGUGGCUGCUCAUGGUCACCUGCUUUCUUCCUCAGAGCCCUGUUGUGUCCCUUCCCUGUAGGGGAUUGAGAUGGUGGUGUAUGGCGGGGUGUUCAAGUUGUUAUAAAUGUGCUGGCCCACACAGAUGGGGUUAUCUUUUUCAUCAUGUCCUUUCAUGCAGAGUGCUGUAAUUGUCUGCAGUGGCCCGCAGAGUACAUCAUUGUCUUUGGACUGGCUGAAGGGAAGGUUCUUUUAGCAAACACCAAAACUAAUAAACCCUCUCCCAUCUAUGGGACAGAGUCUUAUGUGGUGUCCCUGACAACAGUGAGUAAAGAGGAGUAAUAUCACAAGAGUCUGGAAGUGUUGGGAAAGCGCUGUGGUGAAGUCU
This is a long non-coding RNA of Cebus imitator (Panamanian white-faced capuchin), 1800 nucleotides long. RefSeq lists it as uncharacterized. The record is from RefSeq and is a predicted model, not a curated record. Lineage: Eukaryota; Metazoa; Chordata; Mammalia; Primates; Cebidae. The transcript has 4 exons.